RNAcentral lists this long non-coding RNA (840 nucleotides) under Nicotiana tabacum (common tobacco). RNAcentral's name for it is "long non-coding RNA (NTAB_LNC002845)". The record is from RNAcentral. Lineage: Eukaryota; Viridiplantae; Streptophyta; Magnoliopsida; Solanales; Solanaceae.
CUAGGGAUUGGUUCUUUCAUGGUGGAUUCGACCUUGGGGACUACUUAAGAAUACAAGGUGAGUUUGUUUUUGGAUAUUUUAAGUUAAUAACAUUGUAUUAACACUAGUAUUAACAUCCUUCAAUCUUUGAAAUCCCUAGAAAUCUUUAAGUUAUUCAAGAACACAAAAUUUUCCAAACAUUGGAAUUUCAAGGAAAAGCUUCAAGAAGGUAAUACUAAUACUUCAAGCUCAUUUCUUAUGAGUCGGUGAGAGUAAUUCUAAUAGUUGUUUCAAGUUGUUAUGGUUGGAUAAUUGAUUUCAUAAACUCUAGUUCAUGGCAUGAAUAGUGUUCUUGAGAAAAUGAGGGAAAGAUAAAUAGUGUUCUUAGAAAUAAAAUUAAAGGAUGCAAUGAACCUAUGGAAUCAUAUUCUAGCUUAGUAGGAAGUAUUCAACUAAGUAAUCACCAAAUUGAAUGUUUUGGAAAUAUUGGUUAAGGAAGAUGAUGAAUAGUAAUUUGGCAGUGUUGGAGAAUUAAUGUAGUAUCAUUGAUGACUUCAAAUGGGUAUUGAAUGAUAAGAGUGGAGUUGAAUGUGCUAGUAAGUGAACCUAUUAGACGAUUUGAGCUGGAGGCUUGUAGCCAACUUGAGAGCCAUAAAUGGAUAUUGAUAAAUAUUCUUGAGUCAUAUUUUGAUUGUAAUUGGGAUUGUAAUUGUAGAUAUCAAUUUAUUGGUGGCGUAUGAGUAUUUUACUCAAUGUUACGAUGUCGGAGGAGGAUUAAAAGCUUGUGAAUGUUAAUAAAGCGAAAGCGAGUUUUGGAGCGUUGGGCAUCGGUCGAGUUAUUUGAAAGGCUUGGGAGCCGGC